CUUAACUGAACCUUCGGGGAACGUUAAGGGCGGCGAGCGGCGGACGGGUGAGUAAUGCCUGGGAAUAUGCCCUGAUGUGGGGGAUAACUAUUGGAAACGAUAGCUAAUACCGCAUAAUCUCCGAUCUUUUACGAGAUGGGAGCAAAGAGGGGGACCUUCGGGCCUCUCGCGUCAGGAUUAGCCCAGGUGGGAUUAGCUUGUUGGUGAGGUAAUGGCUCACCAAGGCAACGAUCCCUAGCUGGUCUGAGAGGAUGAUCAG
RNAcentral lists this ribosomal RNA (259 nucleotides) under Photobacterium damselae subsp. damselae. RNAcentral's name for it is "partial 16S ribosomal RNA". The stretch from base 42 to 259 matches the Rfam family "Bacterial small subunit ribosomal RNA", at positions 100 to 307 of the family's 1533-position model. The record is from RNAcentral. Lineage: Bacteria; Pseudomonadati; Pseudomonadota; Gammaproteobacteria; Vibrionales; Vibrionaceae.